UGCUCAAAAUGGCAGCGCUGGAGGAAGAAUUCACAUUGUCUUUGGUAGUCCUGAGUGCGGGACCUGAAGGACUCCUAGGCAUGAAGCAGAGUGACAAAAUAGACCAGUUUCUAGUGACAGAAAGUGGCAGAAUCGUGAUCCUCUAUAAGGUUUCUGAAUAGAAACCCUUGGGGAGCUGGUCAGUGAAACAGGGUCAAAUUAUAACAUGUCCAGUUGUGUGCAACCUUCAAACUGGAGAGUAUAUUGUUGUACACGAUAAUAAAGUUUUAAGAAUAUGGAAUAAUGAAGAUGUAAACAGGGAUAAAAUAUUUAAAGCUACAUUGUCAGCUGAAGUAUAUAGGAUACUUUCAGUGCAAGGGUCAGAACCCUUGGUGCUCUUCAAGGAAGGUGUUGUUUAUGGUUUAGAGGCCUUGCUUGCAGACCCCCAGCAGAAAAUUGAAACUGUUUUCUCUCAUGAAGUGAUUAAAUGGACAAAGUUUUUCAUAGUAUUCAGACUUCCUGUUUUAAUGUUUAUUACUGAAAAACAUGGAAAUUACAUUGCUUAGGUGCAAAUGUUUAACUCACAUAUCUUAACCAAAUAUACACUCUUACUUGGACAAGACAAAAACUCUUUUAUAGAGAGUUUUACUGCAUCAGUAGAUCAAAAAUUCAUCUCUUUGAUGUCAUUAAGCUCUGAUGGUUGUAUAUAUGAAACCUUGAUACCAAUACGUCCAACUGACCCAGAAAAAAAUCAGAGCUUAGUUAGAUCACUGUUGCUCAAGGCUGUUGUGUCUGGUAAUGCUCCAAAUGGAGUUGCACUCACUGCCCUGGAUCAGGAUCACGUCACAGUCCUAGGAAGUCCACUAGCAGCUUCUAAGGAAUGCCUCUCUGUAUGGAACAUAAAAUUUCAAACACUACAGACUUCAAAAGAGUUACCACAAGGGACCAGUGGUCAACUCUGGUAUUAUGGGGAAAAUUUGUUUAUGCUACAUGGAAAAUCUCUAGCUGUGAUUCCAUACAACUGUGAAGUGUCAUCAUUAGCAGAUGCUCUUGGAAAACUCAAGCAUAGUCAAGAUCCAGGAACUCAUGUUGUGCCCCAUUUUUGUAAACUGGGAAACACCUCAAGGAUGUGGACUUGGGUCCCAGAACUCAGAGCAGUUAAGAAGAAUUUUAAGGAGAUGAAAAAUUGAAGUGAGUUUAUAGCCAGAGGUAUCACCAUCCAAACAACUUUUGUCAACCAUAAUGAAAGAUUCAGAAAAGCACAUUGAAGUAGAAGUAUGGAAAUUUUUGGCUCUGAAGCAGACACCUGACUUUCAUACUGUCAUUGGGGACACAGUAACAGGACUUCUGGAAAGGUGUAAAGCAGAACGAUCAUUUUAUCCCCGGAACUGUCUGAUGCAGCUUAUCCAAAUGCAUGUGCUUUCUUACAGUUUGUGCCCUGACUUAAUGGAGAUUGCCUUAAAAAAGAAAGAUGUACAGGUGUUACAACUCUGUCUACAGCAGUUCCCUGACAUUCCUGAAUUGGUCACCUGUGCUUGCUUAAAAAUUUUCUUGAGCAUUGGUGAUGACAGUCUUCAAGAAACAGAUGUCAGUAUGGAGUCAGUUUUUGACUAUAGUAAUUCUGUACAUGAUGAGAAAAUGGAAGAGCAAACUGAAAUUCUUCAAAAUGGCUUCAAUCCUGAAGAAGAUAAAUGCAAUAACUGUGAUCGAGAGUUAAAUAAAAAGCCCCAGGACAAAACAAAGGAGACCACUUCAUGCCCUGUGAUACCAAAAGGAGCAGCUCUACUUAAUGCAAUUCUUCAUUCAGCAUAUAGCGAAACAUUUCUUCUGCCUCAUUUGAAAAACAUCCCAGCACAGCAUACCACGCUGUUUCUCAAGUAUUUGUAUUUCCUUUACCUGAAGUGUAGCAAAAAUGCUACUAUGACUCUUCCUGGAAUAUACCCACCUACCUAGAACCAGAUUAUGGAUUGGAUAUGUCUACUUCUGGAUGCAAAUUUUACUGUUAUAGUAAUGAUGCCAGAAGCAAAGAGGCUACUGAUAAAUCUUUACAAGCUUGUAAAAUCUCAGAUAUCUGUUUAUUCCGAGCUCAACAAGAUUGAAGUAAGUUUUCAGGAGCUACAGAAAUUAAAUCAAGAAAAGAAUAAUAGAGGAUUAUAUUCAAUUAAAGUGCUGGAGCUCUUCUGAUAUUACCAAUUCUCCUUCAUAGACAUUUUAUAAAGCUCUUUUAUGUGAACUCUUGCUUCAUCCAGGGAAGAAUGGUGUUUUGUUUGCAACCAUCUCGGUGUCAAGAGAAACAUGUCAGUGAGUACCUGGACCAUCACUUAUUGAUGCUCCGGGGUAGGACUGCAGGUUUCACAUGAACCUAUUCUAGGUUGUGGACAUUGGUGUGCAGAGGUUCUGCAAUUUUUAAAAAAUAUGUAACUGGGUUGAUUUUAAGUAAAAUUAUUUGUGUAUUGAUAAAAGUCUAAUUUCUUA
RNA transcript from Mandrillus leucophaeus (drill), 2454 nucleotides. It is a transcript of the gene named nucleolar protein 11 pseudogene, with no coding region annotated. The record is from RefSeq and is a predicted model, not a curated record. NCBI's taxonomy places the organism in Eukaryota, Metazoa, Chordata, Mammalia, Primates, Cercopithecidae. The transcript has a single exon.